Molecule: ribosomal RNA, 869 nt
Filed under: uncultured bacterium
Lineage: Bacteria
Description: bacterial SSU rRNA
Rfam family: Bacterial small subunit ribosomal RNA
Source: RNAcentral
GAUGAACGCUAGCGGCAGGCCUAAUACAUGCAAGACGAACGGUAAGUUGAGUAGCAAUACUUGACCUAGAGUGUCGUACGGGUGCGUAACACGUAUGCAACCUACCCAUAACAGGAGGAUAGCUCCCCGAAAGGGGAAUUAACCCUCCAUAGUAAUAUUGAAUGGCAUCAUUUGGUAUUUAAAACUCCGGUGGUUAUGGAUGGGCAUGCGUCUGAUUAGUUAGUUGGCGGGGUAACGGCCCACCAAGGCGAUGAUCAGUAGGGGAACUGAGAGGUUGAUCCCCCACACUGGCACUGAGAUACGGGCCAGACUCCUACGGGAGGCAGCAGUAGGGAAUAUUGGUCAAUGGAUGGAAGUCUGAACCAGCCAUGCCGCGUGCAGGAAGAAGGCCUUAUGGGUUGUAAACUGCUUUUGCCAGGGGAUAAAAUAGCCGUGCGCAGCGAAUUGCAGGUACCUGGUGAAUAAGCUACGGCUAACUACGUGCCAGCAGCCGCGGUAAUACGUAGGUGGCAAGCGUUGUCCGGAUUUAUUGGGUUUAAAGGGUGCGUAGGCGGCCCUGUAAGUCAGUGGUGAAAUACUCCAGCUUAACUGGAGGGGUGCCAUUGAUACUGCAGGGCUUGAGUGGAGUAGAAGUAGGCGGAAUUGACGGUGUAGCGGUGAAAUGCUUAGAUAUCGUCAAGAACACCGAUAGUGAAGACAGCUUACUAUGCUUCAACUGACGCUGAGGCACGAAAGUGUGGGGAUCAAACAGGAUUAGAUACCCUGGUAGUCCACACUGUAAACGUUGAUGACUCGCUGUUGGCGAUACACAGCCAGCGGCCAAGCGCAAGCGAUAAGUCAUCCACCUGGGGAGUACGCCGGCAACGGUG